CCUGCCCAGCUCCCUCGUUAGGUCUAGGCAUUUUAAUCAAAUUAUCUGCUUCCCUGACUAUUCCUGGACUACAGCCACACCUCAUUGUUGCCCUUCUUCCCAACCCAAAGCCUCCUUCAAUUAUCUGCUUCCCUGACUAUUCCUGGACUACAGCCACACCUCAUUGUUGCCCUUCUUCCCAACCCAAAGCCUCCUUCGUGUCUUCCUCUCAUAUCCCCCCACCUUAACCCACAAGUAUG
Molecule: long non-coding RNA, 239 nt
Filed under: Homo sapiens (human)
Lineage: Eukaryota; Metazoa; Chordata; Mammalia; Primates; Hominidae
Description: non-protein coding lnc-ROBO2-12:2
Source: RNAcentral